UGGGUGGAUAUGCUCGGUGGU
This 21-nucleotide microRNA is filed under the name Schistosoma mansoni. RNAcentral's name for it is "sma-miR-8457-5p". The record is from miRBase by way of RNAcentral. Lineage: Eukaryota; Metazoa; Platyhelminthes; Trematoda; Strigeidida; Schistosomatidae.